AUUGCAGUCUAUAAGAGGAGAACUAAGAUCAAAUGCAGUAUCUGUUCUUAUCACUUUAAUAUCUGGCACAUCCUCUAUCCAAGGGCAAUAUAGUGAAUGGAUUUUUGGAGCAGGGAGAUGGAAUAGGAGCUUACUCCGUCCACUCCACGCAUCUACCUGGCGUUGCAGUCCUUCCAGGAACGGUGCACACACA
Molecule: small nuclear RNA, 193 nt
Filed under: Echinops telfairi (small Madagascar hedgehog)
Lineage: Eukaryota; Metazoa; Chordata; Mammalia; Afrosoricida; Tenrecidae
Description: U2 spliceosomal RNA (ENSETEG00000024543.1)
Rfam family: U2 spliceosomal RNA
About the family: U2 is a small nuclear RNA (snRNA) component of the spliceosome (involved in pre-mRNA splicing).
Source: RNAcentral